RNAcentral lists this ribosomal RNA (308 nucleotides) under uncultured bacterium. RNAcentral's name for it is "bacterial SSU rRNA". It matches the Rfam family "Bacterial small subunit ribosomal RNA", at positions 166 to 507 of the family's 1533-position model. The record is from RNAcentral.
AUACCCCAUGUGCUCUACGGAGGAAAGGUUUACCGCCUUGGGAGCAGCGAUUCUCCUAGUCAGGUAGUUGGUGAGGUAACGGCUCACCAAGCCGAAGACGGGUAGCGGGUGUGAGAGCAUGACCCGCCGCAUCGGGGCUGAGACACUGCCCGGACUCCUACGGGAGGCUGCAGUAACGAAUCUUCCGCAAUGGGCGAAAGCCUGACGGAGCAAUGCCGCGUGUGGGAUGAAGCAUCUUCGAUGUGUAAACCACUGUCAGGGUCUAGGAAUACUGACCAGACCCAAAGGAAGGGCCGGCUAAUUCCGUG